AGUGAACGCUGGCGGUAGGCCUAACACAUGCAAGUCGAACGGCAGCACAGUAAGAGCUUGCUCUUACGGGUGGCGAGUGGCGGACGGGUGAGGAAUACAUCGUAAUCUACUUUUUCGUGGGGGAUAACGUAGGGAAACUUACGCUAAUACCGCAUACGACCUACGGGUGAAAGCAGGGGAUCUUCGGACCUUGCGCGAUUGAAUGAGCCGAUGUCGGAUUAGCUAGUUGGCGGGGUAAAGGCCCACCAAGGCGACGAUCCGUAGCUGGUCUGAGAGGAUGAUCAGCCACACUGGUACUGAGACACGGUCCAGACGCCUACGGGAGGCAGCAGUGGGGAAUAUUGGACAAGGGGCGCAAGCCUGAUCCAGCCGUACCGCGUGGGUGAAGAAGGCCUUCGGGUUGUAAAGCCCUUUUGUUGGGAAAGAAAAGCAGCAGGUUAAUACCCCGCUGUUCUGACGGUACCCAAAGAAUGAGCACCGGCUAACUUCGUG
RNAcentral lists this ribosomal RNA (492 nucleotides) under uncultured bacterium. RNAcentral's name for it is "partial 16S ribosomal RNA". It matches the Rfam family "Bacterial small subunit ribosomal RNA", at positions 29 to 507 of the family's 1533-position model. The record is from RNAcentral.